RNAcentral lists this ribosomal RNA (573 nucleotides) under uncultured Gammaproteobacteria bacterium. RNAcentral describes it as "bacterial SSU rRNA". It matches the Rfam family "Bacterial small subunit ribosomal RNA", at positions 1 to 578 of the family's 1533-position model. Lineage: Bacteria; Pseudomonadati; Pseudomonadota; Gammaproteobacteria. The record is from RNAcentral.
CGCGGGAAUUCGAUUAGAGUUUGAUCAUGGCUCAGAUUGAACGCUGGCGGCAGGCCUAACACAUGCAAGUCGAGCGGUAGAGAGAAGCUUGCUUCUCUUGAGAGCGGCGGACGGGUGAGUAAUGCCUAGGAAUCUGCCUGGUAGUGGGGGAUAACGUUCGGAAACGGACGCUAAUACCGCAUACGUCCUACGGGAGAAAGCAGGGGACCUUCGGGCCUUGCGCUAUCAGAUGAGCCUAGGUCGGAUUAGCUAGUUGGUGGGGUAAUGGCUCACCAAGGCGACGAUCCGUAACUGGUCUGAGAGGAUGAUCAGUCACACUGGAACUGAGACACGGUCCAGACUCCUACGGGAGGCAGCAGUGGGGAAUAUUGGACAAUGGGCGAAAGCCUGAUCCAGCCAUGCCGCGUGUGUGAAGAAGGUCUUCGGAUUGUAAAGCACUUUAAGUUGGGAGGAAGGGCAGCAGAUUAAUACUUUGCUGUUUUGACGUUACCGACAGAAUAAGCACCGGCUAACUCUGUGUCAGCAGCCGCGGUAAUACGAAUCACUAGUGAAUUCGCGGCCGCCUGCAGGUCG